UGGAAGAGGAACUGUGCUAAGUAUUUAGCUGAACUGAAGCAAGCCAAGGCUUCAGGAGGAGAGUCCUCAGGGACUAAGAAAGAUUAAGAAGCUGAAACAAGGCGACUUGGAGGUCCAUGUUGGCAAUGGACAAAGAGUUGCUGUGAAGGCGAUUGGAGAAUAUGUUCUUUUACUUCCUUCUGGUUUAGAACUUGUUUUGAACAAUGUUUAUUUUAUUCCUAGUGUUACUAGAAAUAUUGUUUCGGUU
Long non-coding RNA from Helianthus annuus (common sunflower), 247 nucleotides. RefSeq lists it as uncharacterized. The transcript has 2 exons. The record is from RefSeq and is a predicted model, not a curated record. NCBI's taxonomy places the organism in Eukaryota, Viridiplantae, Streptophyta, Magnoliopsida, Asterales, Asteraceae.